This 599-nucleotide ribosomal RNA is filed under the name Campylobacter jejuni. Its description in RNAcentral is "partial 23S ribosomal RNA". It matches the Rfam family "Bacterial large subunit ribosomal RNA", at positions 614 to 1217 of the family's 2925-position model. The record is from RNAcentral. Lineage: Bacteria; Pseudomonadati; Campylobacterota; Epsilonproteobacteria; Campylobacterales; Campylobacteraceae.
AAUGAGCCUGCGAGUUGUGGUGUCUGGCAAGGUUAAGCAAACGCGAAGCCGUAGCGAAAGCGAGUCUGAAUAGGGCGCUUAGUCAGAUGCUGCAGACCCGAAACGAAGUGAUCUAUCCAUGAGCAAGUUGAAGCUAGUGUAAGAACUAGUGGAGGACUGAACCCAUAGGCGUUGAAAAGCCCCGGGAUGACUUGUGGAUAGGGGUGAAAGGCCAAUCAAACUUCGUGAUAGCUGGUUCUCUCCGAAAUAUAUUUAGGUAUAGCGUUGUGUCGUAAUAUAAGGGGGUAGAGCACUGAAUGGGCUAGGGCAUACACCAAUGUACCAAACCCUAUCAAACUCCGAAUACCUUAUAUGUAAUCACAGCAGUCAGGCGGCGAGUGAUAAAAUCCGUCGUCAAGAGGGAAACAACCCAGACUACCAGCUAAGGUCCCUAAAUCUUACUUAAGUGGAAAACGAUGUGAAGUUACUUAAACAACCAGGAGGUUGGCUUAGAAGCAGCCAUCCUUUAAAGAAAGCGUAAUAGCUCACUGGUCUAGUGAUUUUGCGCGGAAAAUAUAACGGGGCUAAAGUAAGUACCGAAGCUGUAGACUUGCACACAA